GACGAACGCUGGCGGCGUGCUUAACACAUGCAAGUCGAACGGUAAGGCCCUUCGGGGUACACGAGUGGCGAACGGGUGAGUAACACGUGGGUGAUCUGCCCUGCACUUCGGGAUAAGCCUGGGAAACUGGGUCUAAUACCGGAUAGGACCACUGCCUGCAUGGGUGGUGGUGGAAAGCUUUUGCGGUGUGGGAUGGGCCCGCGGCCUAUCAGCUUGUUGGUGGGGUGAUGGCCUACCAAGGCGACGACGGGUAGCCGGCCUGAGAGGGUGACCGGGCACACUGGGACUGCGGUACGGCCCAGGCUCCUACGGGAGGCAGCAGUGGGGAAUAUUGCACAAUGGGCGCAAGCCUGAUGCAGCGACGCCGCGUGAGGGAUGACGGCCUUCGGGUUGUAAACCUCUUUCAGCACCGACGAAGCGCAAGUGACGGUAGGUGCAGAAGAAGGACCGGCCAACUACGUGCCAGCAGCCGCCGUAA
This 478-nucleotide ribosomal RNA is filed under the name uncultured bacterium. RNAcentral describes it as "partial 16S ribosomal RNA". It matches the Rfam family "Bacterial small subunit ribosomal RNA", at positions 28 to 523 of the family's 1533-position model. The record is from RNAcentral.